This 235-nucleotide ribosomal RNA is filed under the name uncultured bacterium. RNAcentral's name for it is "partial 16S ribosomal RNA". It matches the Rfam family "Bacterial small subunit ribosomal RNA", at positions 96 to 334 of the family's 1533-position model. The record is from RNAcentral.
UGGCGGACGGGUGAGUAAUGUCUGGGAAACUGCCUGAUGGAGGGGGAUAACUACUGGAAACGGUAGCUAAUACCGCAUAACGUCGCAAGACCAAAGAGGGGGACCUUCGGGCCUCUUGCCAUCGGAUGUGCCCAGAUGGGAUUAGCUAGUAGGUGGGGUAAAGGCUCACCUAGGCGACGAUCCCUAGCCGGUCUGAGAGGAUGACCAGCCACACUGGAACUGAGACACGGUCCAG